AGAACGAACGCUGGCGGCAGGCUUAACACAUGCAAGUCGAACGCUCGUAGCAAUACGGGAGUGGCAGACGGGUGAGUAACGCGUGGGAACAUACCCUCCGGUUCGGAAUAGCUCAGGGAAACUUGGAUUAAUACCGGAUACGGCUGAGAGGCGAAAGAUUUAUCGCCGGAGGAUUGGCCCGCGUUCGAUUAGUUUGUUGGUGAGGUAACGGCUCACCAAGGCGAUGAUCGAUAGCUGGUCUGAGAGGAUGAUCAGCCACAUUGGGACUGAGACACGGCCCAAACUCCUACGGGAGGCAGCAGUGGGGAAUAUUGGACAAUGGGCGCAAGCCUGAUCCAGCCAUGCCGCGUGAGUGAUGACGGCCUUAGGGUUGUAAAGCUCUUUCGCUCGGGACGAUAAUGACGGUACCGAGAUAAGAAGCCCGGCUAACUUCGCGCCAGCAGCCGC
This 447-nucleotide ribosomal RNA is filed under the name uncultured bacterium. RNAcentral's name for it is "SSU rRNA". It matches the Rfam family "Bacterial small subunit ribosomal RNA", at positions 26 to 518 of the family's 1533-position model. The record is from RNAcentral.